ACUACGGGAGGCAGCAGUGAGGAAUAUUGGUCAAUGGGCGGAAGCCUGAACCAGCCAAGUAGCGUGCAGGAUGACGGCCCUACGGGUUGUAAACUGCUUUUAUACGGGAAUAACGCGCCUUACGUGUAGGGCUUUGCAUGUACCGUAUGAAUAAGGACCGGCUAAUUCCGUGCCAGCAGCCGCGGUAAUACGGAAGGUCCGGGCGUUAUCCGGAUUUAUUGGGUUUAAAGGGAGCGUAGGCCGCAUGUCAAGCGUGCUGUGAAAUGUCCGGGCUCAACCCGGGCCUGGCAGCGCGAACUGGCGUGCUUGAGUCCGCGGAAAGCAGGCGGAAUUCGUCGUGUAGCGGUGAAAUGCUUAGAUAUGACGAAGAACCCCGAUUGCGAAGGCAGCUUGCUGCAGCGGAACUGACGCUGAUGCUCGAAAGCGCGGGUAUCGAACAGGAUUAGAUACCCUUGUAGUC
RNAcentral lists this ribosomal RNA (460 nucleotides) under uncultured bacterium. RNAcentral describes it as "partial 16S ribosomal RNA". It matches the Rfam family "Bacterial small subunit ribosomal RNA", at positions 338 to 795 of the family's 1533-position model. The record is from RNAcentral.